CUCUUACUCUUAACCCAAUCCUAUCCCUUCUUGUGAAUGAUCUCUCCCUUGACUCUAUCUUUCCUACACCAACUCCUUUCAUCCAGCCUACCGUUCCAUAUGAUAAUACGCCUUCAUUCCUUAACCAUGAGUCUUCCACUACGACAUCUAUAUCCCUAUCUAUAUUCUCGUCAACCUUAGACCCAUCACCCUCUCCUAGUCACUUUCCUCCAUCACCUCAUGAUGUUAAACCAGUUCAAUCCCCCUAUACUAAGCAACCUAUCUACCUCAAGGAUUACUUUUGCUCUAUUGUCACUGCCUCC
Molecule: long non-coding RNA, 302 nt
Filed under: Elaeis guineensis (African oil palm)
Lineage: Eukaryota; Viridiplantae; Streptophyta; Magnoliopsida; Arecales; Arecaceae
Description: long non-coding RNA (EGUI_LNC032361)
Source: RNAcentral